AAUAAACGCUGGCGGCGUGCCUAACACAUGCAAGUCGAGCGAGAAAGCUCCUUCGGGAGUUAGUAAAGCGGCGAACGGGUGAGCAACACGUGAGAAUCUACCCUUUAGUGAAGAAUACCCUCGAGAAAUCGAGGCUAAUACUGCAUACGUCCCUUCGGGGAGAAAGAUGGCCUCUUUGCUAUCGCUAAAGGAUGAGCUUGCGUACUAUUAGCUAGUUGGCGGGGUAAAGGCCCACCAAGGCAAUGAUGGUUAACCGGCCUGAGAGGGUGUACGGUCACACUGGAACUUAGACACGGUCCAGACUCCUACGGGAGGCAGCAGUGAGGAAUCUUGCGCAAUGGGCGAAAGCCUGACGCAGCGACGCCGCGUGGAGGAUGACGGUUUUCGGAUUGUAAACUCCUGUUAAGCGGGAAGAAAGCCUUGUUUCUAAUACAAGCAAGGUAUGACGGUACCGCUAGAGAAAGCACCGGCUAACUUCGUGCCAGCAGCCGCGGUAAAGUAGA
RNAcentral lists this ribosomal RNA (503 nucleotides) under uncultured bacterium. Its description in RNAcentral is "bacterial SSU rRNA". It matches the Rfam family "Bacterial small subunit ribosomal RNA", at positions 29 to 529 of the family's 1533-position model. The record is from RNAcentral.